RNAcentral lists this ribosomal RNA (253 nucleotides) under uncultured bacterium. RNAcentral's name for it is "partial 16S ribosomal RNA". It matches the Rfam family "Bacterial small subunit ribosomal RNA", at positions 524 to 776 of the family's 1533-position model. The record is from RNAcentral.
CACGUAGGGCGCAAGCGUUGUCCGGAAUUAUUGGGCGUAAAGAGCUCGUAGGCGGUCAGUCGCGUCUGCUGUGAAAACUCGGGGCUUAACCCCGGGCCUGCAGUGGGUACGGGCUGACUAGAGUGCGGUAGGGGAGACUGGAAUUCCUGGUGUAGCGGUGAAAUGCGCAGAUAUCAGGAGGGACACCGACGGCGAAGGCAGCACUCUGGGCCGGUACUGACGCUGAGGAGCGAAAGCGUGGGGAGCAAACAGG